AUGGAAGUUUACAACGUAUCCACAUACGGUCCUCUUCACCGUCCAAUACGUCACCGUUCAUCCAUAACCGCCGUAAAACCAUUGCAACCAAUGAAGCUUCUACUCCACCACACUCAUCCUUUGCAUAGUAUCACAGAUUCGAUCACGAUAACUCCGAUCCGCACCCAUAUCGUUUUCGGCGCUUUCUCCGACUACUCUGUUCUCCGCAACGAGAGAUUGAGAAGAUGA
Molecule: non-coding RNA, 228 nt
Organism: Vicia faba (fava bean)
Lineage: Eukaryota; Viridiplantae; Streptophyta; Magnoliopsida; Fabales; Fabaceae
Source: the annotation of a GenBank genome assembly